GGACUACACGGGUAUCUAAUCCGUUUUGCUCCCCACGCUUUCAUGCCUCAAUGUCAGUGACAGAAUAGUUAACUGCCUUCGCCAUAUUGGUGUUCUUUCAUAUAUCUACGCAUUUUACCGCUCCACAUAAAGUUCCGUUAACCUCUCCUGUACUCAAGUUCAACAGUAUUACUGACUUCCACGAGGUUAGGCCUCGAUUUCCCACCAGUAACUUAUCAAACCAUCUACGCAUCCUUUACGCCCAAUAAUUCCGGAUAACGUUCGUCACCUAUGUCUUACCGCGGCUGCUGGCAC
RNAcentral lists this ribosomal RNA (294 nucleotides) under uncultured bacterium. Its description in RNAcentral is "partial 16S ribosomal RNA". The record is from RNAcentral.